UUUAAGGUCUAACCUGCCCAAUGAGGAUUUUAAUGGCCGCAGUAUUUUGACUGUGCAAAGGUAGCAUAAUUAUUAGUUUUUUAAUUGAAAGCUUGUAUGAAGGGUUGGACGAGAUAAAAUCUGUCUUUAUUUAAAUUAAAAUAAAAUUUAACUUUUAAGUCAAAAGGCUUAAAUUUUUAUAAAAGACGAGAAGACCCUAUAGAUCUUUAUUUAAUUAAUAUUUUGAUAAUUUAGGAUUAUUUUAAUUUAAAAUUUUAAUUAAAUUUUAUUGGGGUAAUAUAAAGAUUAAAUAAAUUCUUUUUAUUAUUUACAUUGAUUUAUGAAUUUGUGAUCCAAUAUUAUUGAUUAAAAGAUUAAGUUACCUUAGGGAUAACAGCGUAAUUUUUUUGGAGAGCUCAUAUCGAUAAAAAAGUUUGCGACCUCGAUGUUGGAUUAAAAGUUAUCUUGGGUGCAGAAGCUCAAGAUUUUGUUCUGUUCGACCAUUAAAUUUUUACAUGAUCUGAGUUCAGACCGGCGUAAGCCAGGUCGGUUUCUAUCUUUAUAAAAUUAAAAUGUUUUAGUACGAAAGGACCAAAUAUUUGAUAUAAUUAUAUUUAUUUAUUGAAUAAUAUU
RNAcentral lists this ribosomal RNA (612 nucleotides) under Cephalota circumdata. RNAcentral describes it as "partial 16S ribosomal RNA". It matches the Rfam family "Bacterial large subunit ribosomal RNA", at positions 1844 to 2749 of the family's 2925-position model. The record is from RNAcentral. Lineage: Eukaryota; Metazoa; Arthropoda; Insecta; Coleoptera; Carabidae.